Non-coding RNA from Anncaliia algerae PRA109, 46 nucleotides. The record is from Rfam. NCBI's taxonomy places the organism in Eukaryota, Fungi, Microsporidia, Tubulinosematidae.
AAAUAGGUUUUUUUAAAAACCACAGCGAGAAUCUUCUCAAGUGAAU